This 138-nucleotide ribosomal RNA is filed under the name Lacticaseibacillus rhamnosus. RNAcentral describes it as "Lactobacillus rhamnosus partial 16S ribosomal RNA". It matches the Rfam family "Bacterial small subunit ribosomal RNA", at positions 1399 to 1533 of the family's 1533-position model. The record is from RNAcentral. Lineage: Bacteria; Bacillati; Bacillota; Bacilli; Lactobacillales; Lactobacillaceae.
ACACCAUGAGAGUUUGUAACACCCGAAGCCGGUGGCGUAACCCUUUUAGGGAGCGAGCCGUCUAAGGUGGGACAAAUGAUUAGGGUGAAGUCGUAACAAGGUAGCCGUAGGAGAACCUGCGGCUGGAUCACCUCCUUU